Molecule: long non-coding RNA, 449 nt
Filed under: Rattus norvegicus (Norway rat)
Lineage: Eukaryota; Metazoa; Chordata; Mammalia; Rodentia; Muridae
Description: long non-coding RNA NONRATT032493
Source: RNAcentral
UUGUCUUACUGACUUCCCAUCUACUCUAAGACUUGGCACCUCUGGACGGGUCCACUCUUUGCCUCUCGCUCGAAUCCCAGUCCUCGAUCACCAUCUUACUUGGCAAAAGGUCAGCAGGGAUCUCAGCAGCCGCACAGCCCAAGAGAGUUAGGAAUCGAAACCAACUCACCCCGAGUUCCAGAAGUCCUAUCUGUGAUUCCGUGAUUCUCCUGCUUCCUCCUGCUGCGCUAUGGCUCCCCUGGAGUCUGAGGACUCAGCCCGGUUUUUCCGAGGGGCGCUGGUCCUUGGUCUAUCCUGCGCUCCGUGCCAGUGUUCCAGUAGGAUCAGUCUCCCACUGGCCACUGUGAUCUUCUUCCGCGCUGACAAUGCACCCCAGACCAGGACAGGUCCCCCGGUCUCCGAGGCCCCUUCCGCUUGGUGCAGCCCUUUCAAUGGCGUGCCGCAUGGCC